ACUCCUACGGGAGGCAGCAGUGGGGAAUUUUAGACAAUGGGCGAAAGCCUGAUCCAGCAAUGCCGCGUGAGUGAAGAAGGCCUUCGGGUUGUAAAGCUCUUUUGUCAGGGAAGAAACGGUGAAAGCUAAUAUCUUUUGCUAAUGACGGUACCUGAAGAAUAAGCACCGGCUAACUACGUGCCAGCAGCCGCGGUAAUACGUAGGGUGCAAGCGUUAAUCGGAAUUACUGGGCGUAAAGCGUGCGCAGGCGGUUUUGUAAGUCUGAUGUGAAAUCCCCGGGCUCAACCUGGGAAUUGCAUUGGAGACUGCAAGGCUAGAAUCUGGCAGAGGGGGGUAGAAUUCCACGUGUAGCAGUGAAAUGCGUAGAUAUGUGGAGGAACACCGAUGGCGAAGGCAGCCCCCUGGGUCAAGAUUGACGCUCAUGCACGAAAGCGUGGGGAGCAAACAGGAUUAGAAACCCCUGUAGUCCCAU
This 472-nucleotide ribosomal RNA is filed under the name uncultured organism. RNAcentral's name for it is "partial 16S ribosomal RNA". It matches the Rfam family "Bacterial small subunit ribosomal RNA", at positions 335 to 798 of the family's 1533-position model. The record is from RNAcentral.